UGAGUAACCUGCCCUUAACUCUGGGAUAAGCCUGGGAAACUGGGUCUAAUACCGGAUAUGACUCCUCAUCGCAUGGUGGGGGGUGGAAAGCUUUAUUGUGGUUUUGGAUGGACUCGCGGCCUAUCAGCUUGUUGGUGAGGUAAUGGUUCACCAAGGCGACGACGGGUAGCCGACCUGAGAGGGUGAUCGGCCACAUUGGGACUGAGACACGGCCCAAACUCCUACGGGAGGCAG
This 234-nucleotide ribosomal RNA is filed under the name uncultured bacterium. Its description in RNAcentral is "partial 16S ribosomal RNA". It matches the Rfam family "Bacterial small subunit ribosomal RNA", at positions 118 to 351 of the family's 1533-position model. The record is from RNAcentral.